Transfer RNA from Loxodonta africana (African savanna elephant), 74 nucleotides. It matches the Rfam family "tRNA". From Rfam's summary of the family: Transfer RNA (tRNA) molecules are approximately 80 nucleotides in length. The record is from Rfam. Lineage: Eukaryota; Metazoa; Chordata; Mammalia; Proboscidea; Elephantidae.
CCCUGGGUGGUGCAAAUGAUUAACACGCUUGGCUGCGAACCAAAAGGUUGGAGGUUUGAGUCCACCCAGAGGGG